Molecule: long non-coding RNA, 486 nt
Organism: Bos taurus (domestic cattle)
Lineage: Eukaryota; Metazoa; Chordata; Mammalia; Artiodactyla; Bovidae
Source: Ensembl
CAAAAAAAAAAAAAAAAGAGAGAGAGAGACGGCUUAAUUUGGCUUUAGGCAAGAAGCCUUUGGUACAAGGGUUUGGCCACAAUCCGACAAGAGAGGAAGUGGUUAAUGGUGGUUAUAGAAGACAAGGCAGUUGAUAUGACACAGAAUCCACCAAACAGAAUGGAUGCUGAUCAGAGUGAACACUGGCUGUUACUCAGGUGCUGUCAGCUGAGCAAUCUUGACAAUGCUCAAUGGUUUGACUUGAUGGGAUUGGAUCUUUGAAAAGGGAGUGCCACAGUUCAGAAAUUUUGCUCAUAUUUUGAUACGGCCUUUCAAAGCGAUUGUCUCACUAUGGACAGAAAAGAAACUGGGAGUCAAAGCUGAGCGAUGACUUGGACACCUGCCUGGCAUCCUCCUCUCCCCUCCCUGAACCACUGAAUCACACUGAUCCCAUCAAGAGUCCCCAAACACCUGAUUAAAGGUAAAUGAAAAAGACAUCCAUUCAAG